CAACAAAUGACCUACCGAGGCACAACCUGAGAGAGGCAGGCAGGCGAAGAUCAAAUAUAAUCGUCAUUCCUGAAAAAGCCACUGUGAAGAAUGUGGCUGUCAUCUGCAGCCCUCGGCUAUGUGAGCACCACCAGCGACAGACAGAUGAUUUAACGCAGAUGUGGGCAGCAGUGCUUCCCCCCUUGGAGACAUAAGAAGGAGAAACACUGAAUAAAUGUAACAAGUUAAAGCACAGAGAAAUGGGCUUAAUACCUUCACCCAUCUGCCAGUCAGGCUCAGGCAGGUUCCCCUUACGCACGUACUGAUCGGUUCUCGGCUGAACACUCGUGGGAACCUUCUGCAGACCUCCGGCUCCCUCUGUGCAGCGCUCUGUCCUCCUGCUCCGCCCUGUGGAUCCUGCCACCUAGGCUUGCCUGGACUCCCAGCUGGCUGUGCUCCGCUCAGGAGGAGGCUGGUCCCGUCUCCUUACCCCAUGGCCUGGAGACUCUCCACGCGGCUAGCCGGGCAUCUCAGGGCUCACCCCACUUGAUUCCCGUUUUCCUUCAUUGCCUGACGCUCAGUGUCACGAAAGCUCGUCUUGUAGAUUUUUCUCUUUCUCAGGGUUGUUUUUUUUUUUUUAGAGAGAGAGUCUCGUGCUGUCACCCAGGCUCUUGACAGAGUCUUGACAGAGUCUUGUUCUUUUACCCAAUGAAGUGCAGUGGUGCAAUCUCGGUUCACUGCAACCUCCACCUGCCGGGUUCAAGCAAUUCUUGUGCCUCAGCCUCCCGUGUAGCUGGGACUACAGGAGCACACCACCGUGCUCUGCUAAUGUAGAGAUGGGGUUUUGCCGUGUUGGCCAGGCUGGUCUUGAACUCCUGGCCUCAAGUGAUGUGCCAACUUGGCCCCUCAAAGUGCUAGGAUUAGAGAUGUGAGCCACGCCCAGCCUCAGGUUUUUCAGUUGUUUCAGAGCAGAGGGUAAACCUGGUCCUUGUCCCAUUUUGACCAGAAUCAGAAGUCCUCUUUGUAAACCAAAAAUACAAUUCUGAGGCUCCCCAUCCAUCAGAAUGGACCCCACCUCUCAGCCAGGGCACUCCAAAGCUAACCUGAAAAACUGGUUCAGACCAUGCCAGGAAGCAGGGUGGGACAUGCCUCACGAUGCCCUCCUCCCUUUGUGAGUUCUGGAAAAGCCAACCAGUGUUUAAGAUCAACACAGACCUUAAGCCUGAUAAGAAGUAUUUACAAGCUAUUCUCUCUGAAGCCUGCUACCUGGAGGCUUCAUCUGCAGGAUAAAAGCUUUGUCUCCACAACCCCUUAUCAUAACCCAGACAUUCCUUUCUAUUGAUAAUAACUCGUUUUUUUUUUUUGAGAUGGAGUCUCACUGUCACCCAGGCUGGAGUGCAGUGGCUCAAUCUCAGCUCACUGCAGCCUCCGCCUCUCGGAUUCAAGUGAUUCUCCCGCCUCAGCCUCCCAGGUAGCUGGGAUUACAGGCGCCCACCACCACACCCAGCUAAUUUUUGUAUUUUUAGUAGAGACAGGGUUUUGCCAUGUUGGCCAGCCUGGUCUUGAAUUCCUGACCUCACGUGAUCUGCCUGCCUCAGCCUCCCAAAGUGCUAGGAUUACAGGCAUGAGCCACCACACCUGGCCGAUAAUAACUCUUUCAACCAAUUGCCAUCAGAAAAAUUUUAAAUUAAGUCUACCUAUAACUUGGAAGUCCCCCACUUGAAGUCGUCCCGCCUUUCUAGGCUGAACCAACGUAUUUCUUACAUGAAUCUGAUUGAUGUCUCAGGUCUCCUGAAAUGUAUAAAACGGAGGCUACGCCCUGGUCCCCUUGGGCACAAGGGCUGGGUCAUGGGCCAUGGUCACUUAUAUUUGGUUCAGAAUAAAUCUCUUCG
Molecule: long non-coding RNA, 1871 nt
Filed under: Homo sapiens (human)
Lineage: Eukaryota; Metazoa; Chordata; Mammalia; Primates; Hominidae
Description: HSALNT0216393
Source: RNAcentral